AUUGAACGCUGGCGGCAGGCUUAACACAUGCAAGUCGAGCGGGGGAAGGUAGCUUGCUACCGGACCUAGCGGCGGACGGGUGAGUAAUGCUUAGGAAUCUGCCUAUUAGUGGGGGACAACAUCUCGAAAGGGAUGCUAAUACCGCAUACGUCCUACGGGAGAAAGCAGGGGAUCUUCGGACCUUGCGCUAAUAGAUGAGCCUAAGUCGGAUUAGCUAGUUGGUGGGGCAAGGGCCUACCAAGGCGACGAUCUGUAGCGGGUCGGAGAGGAUGAUCCGCCACACUGGGACUGAGACACGGCCCAGACUCCUACGGGAGGCAGCAGUGGGGAAUAUUGGACAAUGGGGGGAACCCUGAUCCAGCCAUGCCGCGUGUGUGAAGAAGGCCUUAUGGUUGUAAAGCACUUUAAGCGAGGAGGAGGCUACUUUAGUUAAUACCUAGAGAUAGUGGACGUUACUCGCAGAAUAAGCACCGGCUAACUCUGUGCCAGCAGCCGCCGUAA
This 501-nucleotide ribosomal RNA is filed under the name uncultured bacterium. RNAcentral describes it as "partial 16S ribosomal RNA". It matches the Rfam family "Bacterial small subunit ribosomal RNA", at positions 30 to 523 of the family's 1533-position model. The record is from RNAcentral.